UCUAACUCCAUGAUAUUAUAGUAUUCCUAGCAGAUGUUGUCUCUCAGGCGUUGGUUCUUUUCUUUAGCCACUCAUAGCGACCUUUCAUCUUCUCCCCAAAGAACCUUGGUUUUUGUUCCUCCUCUGAUACUCAAGAACACCCUAUCCAAAAACAAUCUUAGUUGCUCCUGUGUGGAACCUAAUAAGAAAAAUGGAUUUUUCUCAGUGGCCAGUGAUCUCCAAUCUUCUUCUUCCUACCACAAAGAUUCUCCCUUUUCAGGUUUGGAGGAUGCUUUGAUGAGUUAUAUCUUUGGAAAGAAGAGGGCAACUGACAUUGCUCACAUGGUGUGGAAACAGGUUGUCCGAAAAGGAGACACUGUCAUUGAUGCUACUUGUGGCAAUGGUUUUGACACCUUAGCAAUGCUUAAUUUAGUUGCUGAUGAUUCUCAUGAUGGUUAUGUAUAUGCAUUAGACAUUCAAGAAGAUGCUUUGAAUAACACUUCCCUCUUGCUGGAAAAGUCACUUAGUUCUAAUGAGAGACAACUUGUCAAGCUCUUCAAUAUCUGCCAUAGUAAAAUGGAGAAUGUUGUUCCAAGGAAUGCCUCAGUUAGGCUUGUUGCAUUCAACUUGGGUUAUCUUCCUGGAGGUGACAAAGAUAUAAUAACAGUAUCAGAAACAACAUCACUGGCAUUGGAAGCUGCCAAGAGAAUUCUGAUGCCAGGUGGUCUCAUCAGUAUAGUGGUGUAUGUGGGGCACCCUGGUGGACGGUGAUAUUUCUGACCCUUUACUUUGUGUCAUUAAGAGAUCUUUGAACCGCCAAAUAUGCUAAUUUUAAGACUGGAUUCUGUGUUGGAAUUUUAUUCUGGUUCCUUUGCCGAACUUUCAAAAUAUACUAUACUGAUGUUAUCAUCAAGUCAGUGUCCAUCAAUAUAUUUUGAAGACAUGAUACACGGCUUAGGAUCAACACAAAAAUCUAAAUUCGCUAAUUUUCCAUCGAUUUUUUGAAUGUUCUGACUUUUUGAAGCUUCACUUGCUUCAGUGAAGACUUCAGUAUUCCAAUUAUUCCUUCCAUAUGUAAUGUGAAGAAUUGGAAGCUGUUGAAUCUUUUGCUACUAAAUUGUGUGUUGAGAAUUGGAUCUGCUGCAAACUCCAGAUGUUAAACCGUCCAUUUGGUCC
Vigna unguiculata (cowpea) is the source of this 1155-nucleotide RNA transcript. It is a transcript of the gene named S-adenosyl-L-methionine-dependent methyltransferases superfamily protein, with no coding region annotated. Lineage: Eukaryota; Viridiplantae; Streptophyta; Magnoliopsida; Fabales; Fabaceae. The record is from RefSeq and is a predicted model, not a curated record.